GGUUGCAUCUGGGGACAGAGCCAAGGGCAAGAAAUGCAAGUUAUUCCCAAAGGGAAGCUGACUGGUUGGGUCUGGAUCCAAGCCAGCUCCUCCCUCUCGGACAAUGGAGCAGAACAGGGCUGCUAAUAACUGAGUAGUAGGAGAGGGUCCAGUAUCCCAGGGAGAGGAGGCUCUGCCAAAGGCUUGUGGGGCCGGAGACUGGCAGCUUCCUCCUUCACUCUGGAAGCCAGUAGGUGGGGCCAGCAGCACAGAUUCCCAGUCCCUGAAGCAGGUUCCCCUUCAACCUCAUUCUCUUAUCUGAAGCCCUCCUCCCCAACAGCAGGAAGGACUCUCCAGUGCCGCCCCGGGCCCUCCUGCCCUCGGGGUGUAGGAAAGCUGCCUCGGUCACUAGCUGCGCCAGUCCUUCUGCCGUGUCUGGGACAGUCCCUUUCCAGGUGAAUGUCCACCAGUGUGACUGGUUAGCUGGCCUCUGCUAAGGGCACUGUGCAUAACCUAAGUUCCUGUAACAACCUUGCUAUUCUGAGCCCCACUUCACGCACGAGGAAACAGAGGAUUCGGACAACAGCUCGGGGGCCAAGGGAGUCCCAGAUGGAGAAUCCCCACGGGGCGCGGGUCUGCGGCUGCGAAACAGCCCUCCUUCCCGGACGCCUGGAACUCGGGAGUGGCCUUUCCGGGGGACCCCCGCCCCCAACACAUGCACCCACGCUCCCGACCUGCGACCUCCCCUCGCAGCCCGGGCAUUGCCCUCCAGCCUCUCGCUCCGCUGAGAAGCAGCCCGGCGCCUUUAAGGGCCGCCCGCUUACCUUUGCUCCGGUCCGGGCGCCGCGGUCACCCCGCUCCGACCUCGUCCCCGGCGCCGCCAGCCGCGCCGCACCCGCAGACUCACCGCGCGUCCUGGGUCGCGGCGCGCCCGCUCCCGCCAGCCACUGCCGGGCUCCCGGGGGCUGAGCGCCGUGCCCUGCGCCCUGCCGGGGUCCCUGCCGGGGUCCCUGCCGGGCUCCGGGCGCUUCCUGCACUCCAGAAAGGGUGAGGGCCAUCUCUCAGCGCUGGCUCUGUGCAGCAGCCCACCUCCUGCUGAGGCGGGACUUCGCACCUCCCACUGAUUGAGGACACUGA
RNAcentral lists this long non-coding RNA (1116 nucleotides) under Heterocephalus glaber (naked mole-rat). Its description in RNAcentral is "lncRNA (ENSHGLG00100038338.1)". The record is from RNAcentral. Lineage: Eukaryota; Metazoa; Chordata; Mammalia; Rodentia; Bathyergidae.